Panthera uncia (snow leopard) is the source of this 3157-nucleotide long non-coding RNA. RefSeq lists it as uncharacterized. The record is from RefSeq and is a predicted model, not a curated record. The transcript is spliced from 2 exons. NCBI's taxonomy places the organism in Eukaryota, Metazoa, Chordata, Mammalia, Carnivora, Felidae.
AGUAAGACAAUUAUCAAUCUGGCACAUGUGUAACUGGAAUCUCAGAAACAGAGAGACAGAGAAUGGGACAGAAGAGAUCUCUGACGAGACAACAGCAGAGAAUUCCUCCAAAAUACCGAAGGGCAACGAACCACAGAUCGGAGAAGCUCAGGGAACCCCAAGCAGGAUCAGUAUCCACUUCCACCAGGCCAAAAACCACAUGCCCGGACGCAUCAUAUUCCAAGUGCUGAAAAUCAACGAUAAAGAGAAAAUCUCGAAGGCACUCAGGGAAAAAAAAGACCCAUUCCACAAAGGAACAGAGAAUUGUAACUGACCACUCGUCAGAAACCAUGGAAACCAUGGGACAAUGGGGUGACACAUCUGGUGUGCCCAACGAUACAAGGAGGGGGACCCAGGAACGAUGUUUACUCCCACACUUAGCAGAUGAGUGGCAUCUUGAAGAUGAGAAGUCCUCAUCAGAACCCCGAGAGCGGUUCUCCAGGCUUUCUCUUCCAAGCCCAAGCGGCGAUGAGGGGAGAGGCUCCCUUCGCCAAGCCAGGAACCUGGACGUGCCGCCCUCUUCCCUGAUGCCAAGCCCUCCCGACCGUGUGCAGGUAGCCGGAGUGAGAGCGAAGGGAAGGAGCAGGGAGAGGAGCAGAAAAGAGAAGGGGGGAGAGGAAGGAGAAACAGCACAGCCGCCUCGGAACGAAACCUCCUGUUACGCUCUUCAAGCCUCUGCCCUCGCCCCCGGAAGGCGGGUAACUAGCCGCCGUGUGGUGUCACUGAAAGGGACACGGGUGCACGCUGGCCUCGGAACAAACGUGAGCUCCAGGUGGGGGGGCGGUUCCCUCGGCAUCUCGUAGCCCGCUUCCUGGUGCACGCACAAGGCGCUCAACGGCCCCCUCCCCAGGCUGUGGGAAAAGCAAACGAGAUGCCGCGUGUGAACACCCGGGACGCACGUGGCGCGGAACAGGUGCUGGCCAAAUGCGAGUUCCCACCCCCGUGACCUCUCCCCAACUCUUCCGGGACUUGGGUCAGCUCCGUUGUCCAAACGCUCAGAUGCCGGUUCCACCCUCUCCCCUCCUUUCCCCUCUCCGGACCUGUAUCCAUCUACAAAAAGGAAACAAUCCCAAGAACACAAGACUGUUCGCAGGCUCAAAAGAGGCAGACAGGGGGACCGUAGCUGUAGUCGGUAAUCCCACCCGGCUUCACAUCCAGGUCCCACAUACGGCCACCCCCUCCAUGCAGUCCUCCAGUGAUCCCCCUUCCUGGGCCCCUGACCUGACCUUGAGAACAACCACCCUGUCCGGUCAGUCAGCUUUCAGCAUCAGGAGCCUGGCUUCCCAAUGUCACCGCCAGCUCCUUGAGAAGAGCGUCCCCACAUUCACAACACUCCCCAAUCGGCCUCUCCUAGGCCUGGUGGCGUGCGUACACAAAGAAAAGUCAUCCGCCUGGCCUGGGACCUAGGAUCUCCCCACGGCCUCCCCAGCUGUCUUAAGAUUUAAGACUCAACUGAAUCCAUCAGGCCCAAUCCCCUCACUUUUCAUGGGCUUCAGCCGAGGAGCCUCUCCCAGAGCUGAUGCUUCGUGACUUCAGGGACCGGCUCGCACGGUCACAAGACGCUUCCGCAGACAAUCGAAUUUAACACUUGGCAUCGAAGAGGCGGUAAAAAUGAAGGACUAUAAACGAGGACGGAGAUAAAGAGAACAGUCCUCUGCAGAAGGCACAGUGGGCUCCCCGUACCUGGAUCACGGAUGAACUGGGGCCAUCCCAGAGAGGUUCCGGCCACGAUGGCAGUUUCGGACCCCCGUGCAGACCAGUAUGACAGCCACAAGCUACCUGUGGCUACUGAGCACCCGAGACAUGACGAGUGCUUCUGAGGAACCGAGUUUCUACUUUUAUGCCCUUUCGAUUCAUCGAAUCCAAAAAGCCGCACGUGGCUACAGGCUACUGAACCGGGCAGCACAGUCCUACCCUGCCACCUGAGCUAAAACGUCAGAAACACAGAAACACUCCCAGAGCAUGGUGGAGCGCAGAGGGAAAAGCCAGGAUUAAUUACCACCAGAAACCCCCGGCCCCGUGAACCCCUGUUCUGCAUCAGUGUGGGGGAGGGGAGGGGACAAGGACUCUACAAGCCCUUCCAGCUCUGACCAAUUGCAAGUUCACCACGAUCUCCCAGACGUGGGCUCUGGAAACCCAAGUGGCCCUGUGGUUUCUCUCAGGGGCCUCCGCUAGUUCUGGCUUCUUGCCCAAGCCUGGCACCGGCCACCCUGUAGCUACCUGUCCCCCAGCAGACAGUGUGCUCACGGAGGGCAGGCAGCAGAUGGGAUUGCUCUCGGCAGCCCCAGCACCUGAUCCCAGCACCUAGAAAAGCGCCAGGGCACAUCAGGUGCCGGGGAGUGAAGGCCCGCAUCAGCAGCACGACCCUUCCUCGCGCUUACCGUGCAUCUGGCUCGGGGAGGGGUGCUCACGCAUCAUCCCCCUCUUCCUCACAGCCGCCCAUCAAGAUGGUAAGGUGGUCUCCCCCACCCCUGCGGAAACCACAGCUCCGAGGGGUGAGCACCUGACAUGUGGGACUGGGUAAGUGGCCGCUCACCUAUUCCUAAAGCAUUCCAGGUGCAUCCUAAGCCACAACCGGCCUGUGCUCAAGAUAAUGGCCUCCAAGACCCCAGGGCCAGGGCCACCCCGCAAUUGCCCAGUUUAAGCUGCAGAUUCCAUGGCAGAGGAAACCAAGGCUCCGACGUGCCCAAGGGUAGUGGCUUCCUGGAACCAGAUCUCCCUGUUACCAGAGGCCACUGGCAAUGACUUCCAGAGCCCUUUCCUCUGGUUGACAGGGAAUCUCCAUGGCACCCUUUGGGGCCCAGUUUUUCCACCCCCUUGAUCAUUUCAUGUAACAAACUUCACGAACGGUGGGGUGGGGGGAGCGAAAGCCUUCAGAGGCACGGGUGAGAGCCUGGAGAGGCCAUAAGGACUGCUGGAAUUUUUUCUUUUUUUUUUUAAGUUUUAAAGAGGUGGCUCUCUGGGGUUCUGCGUGAAGGGGCCUCACACAAGGCAUAAGGGUCUCAAGGCCACCACUGGGUUUUCUGUCACCAAGGGAAAGAGCUCUAUGUUUAUUCUCCUUAUUAAAAGUCCACGAUGUGCUUCCAUCUGUCUUUGAACGAUGCAAGUUCAAACAAGA